Molecule: non-coding RNA, 4221 nt
Organism: Rattus norvegicus (Norway rat)
Lineage: Eukaryota; Metazoa; Chordata; Mammalia; Rodentia; Muridae
Source: RefSeq, a predicted model, not a curated record
GCUCAUAUGUCUCAUAGGUGUUUGCCGAACACUUACUCUGGACUCAGAUGCUGUUCUGGGAAUUUGAGCAACAUCGGUAAAUGAAGCAAGGAUCCCUGACCACUGUCUUCUCUGUCAUCCGGCUGUCGCUAUGGCGCCUGCGUGCCUCUUCUUUCUGCUUGGUUAGAACAACAGCGUGCACACUUCAUUUGCAUGCCUGUGGCGUUUGUAUGGGUAUCUCAACAUACCCAGUGGUGCCAGCUGGCCCACCAAGCAUCCUCUUAGGCAAACAUAUGCACUCGGAUCUCUGGAUGUGCCAGCAGGCAGAGCCCGCCUGAGGCAAAUGAGGGGACCCGUGCUUCCUGCCACAUCCCGGGUCCCCAGACUCCCAGCACAUUUUGUGCUCUGAUGACCCUUCUAGGCUGGACCUAGCGGCCCGUGCUCUGAAGCCCUGAGCAACCUCUCCAGCCCUCUGCUGACCUCAUUUAAGACAGCUGGCAGGUAUGGAAGGAUGAAUGUGGGCUAUCCGCAGGUAUCUGCAGCCAGCAGCGACUCCGGGGGCAGUGAGCAAGCCAGCCCUUGAGGAUUCUACCUGGCUGCAGCACAGUGUACCUGGCCUCUGGGUAAAGACCAAUUCUUCAUCUCAAAAUUGUUCAGCAAGCUAUGGACACGCUUUCGAGGAGCUGGGCACACAGGGUGGAAUCCCCUGCCUCUGUGUCAGAUGACUGGAAACCACGCUACCAUUUCUAGCACCCAGAAUCACAGGGUUUUGGAGUGAGCUCAAGCAAUUGCAGACUUCCUCUUUCCACCUGCCCAGAACUCCUGCUCCACGGGUUCCAGGAGCUGGCCGCCUAGUUGCUGGAGCAGCUAGAACUGAAGCUAGCUGAUCCCAUCCUGGAGUCCUGAUAGCACACAGGGUGCUGAAACCCUGCUUCUCCCUGCCUCAGAGCUGGCCUCCUCCGUCCCUCAGCAGUCCUGCCCAGUGCUCAGGCACACACUCAACACGCAUCAGCAGGGCAUAAAUAUUUAUGACAUGCAACAAAUGCAGUGGCUUAUAGGAUUCCUGGAGCUUCAGGCGGGCGCUCUUUGCGCAAGAAGCAUUUUUAUGUGAGGAGGGGGGCAGUGGGCAGGAGAGCAGUGUGUGCAAGCAGAGACGGGGCUCUUAGCCUCCUAGAAUGUUCUGGAAGCCUGCCCUUCACUGCGGCAGCUGAGUGUUUCCAUUUGUGGGGAGGCUUGGCUGGCAGCUGCCACCAUGCUCUCUGAUAAUCCACCAGCCUUAGAAGCGUGCUCUUCAGAAGCCCCGCCCUGAUGCUACCAGAUGUUCACCAACCAGAGGACGGAGAGAAUUCCAUCUGGAAGCUGAGUCCUCAGGAGGUGGGUAGAGCACAGGGUUCCUAUUCUCAUUGUCACAAGCUUCUAGAUGGUUCUCAGAGUGGAAACCAAGGAUGGCUGCCUCUGCCCCCUACCAAAGCCCCCUUAGGGCGAUUCAACCACAUUCCCAGCACCUAGCCCCCAAGGCAAGAAAUGCAAGUACCAGCCAACUGUGGUGGUAGACAUUUGUAAUCCAAGCACCCUAGCCAGCUCCAGCAAAACUGAAGUCGUACAGUAGGACCCUGUCUCACAAAUCAAUCAAACAAACAAGGGACUGCACAUAUCUCAGACUUCCAACAAUAAACAAAGGUUCACACAUAUCUGCGUCAAUCCCUUCCCUUCUGGCCAGCCAGCAUCUCUCACUGGUGCUGUCUACUAACACCGUUUGACAUAGCUCCUCAUUGGUUCUGAGGGAGGAGGUGAGGAGUGGUGAGCAAAGCCAUGAGACAUGAGUCUUUCUGCAGAGCAGUGAAACCUGGGCCUGCAGUGGAGUCUUGCUACCCUGUGGGCCUUUUCCUGGAGGUGUCAGUGGUGGCCAAACCUGACCUGGCCUUUGAGGACCAUGCCCAGCCCAGGCUGGAGAGGAAAAUGCUUCUGUAGUGGAAGGAGGGCCUUUCAGCUGACCUCCCACAUAGCAAGAUUUAGCCAACUAUAAACUCCCCAUUCAAUCCUUCCAGCACCAGCUCUCAAGCCACUUCCACUCCCAGCACUGUCUGAACCUGCACACCUGUUCCUCCAGACUCUAACCGCUUUCCACCUGCUCCUUUAACCAAGCCAGUCUCCUCUCCCCUAACCUCUGCUGAGGAGGUGAGUAAGGAGUUGGUAGCGGUGGGGGUGGUUAGCCAAUCUUCAUGCCUCAGGGUCCCAUGGCCAGCAUAAAUCUCUCCUUCUUUCUCUUAACACCUGGCCGGCUCCUUGUCACUGUGCUAACAACAUUGUAUUGAUUUGCCCACGUGACUGCUUCCCCCAAAGACCAUAAACUCCUUGAGAGCAGAAUCUACGCUGUGUUUGUGUUUUUGAACGCAACUACCCACCAGUGUUCAAUACGAAACAGGCACUUCAUAAGUACAGAGAGAAAGCUCCUCCACACUUAUAAAUUCACAAAAGCAAACACAAGCUCCAGUCGUUCAUGCUGUUCCCCAGCAAGGCCAGCGCUGACUGGAGAAAAAAGGCCUGCUUACAGCCUUACAGGGGUUUCCAGAGGACUCCUGCAGCCCCAACUCCAAGCACAAGAUACAAGGUCAGCUGCCUGACGCCUUUCCUGCUGGUUAGUCAUUUCCACAGGAGGAGAGGACCCCUGUUCAUGUGACAGAAAAAGUGAGUCACCCAGAACAAGUGCAGCACAAGGGGGGCUGUCUAAUAAAGACAAUGCUACCCCUUCCCCACAUUGAUGGCAGCCAUCAACAGAGAAGAGGAGACAUGGCUCUGGGGUGCCCACCUUGCUUUAAGCACGAAGGCAAGACUGUGGAUAUGAGUGGAGCCUAGCCCCCCACCUGCUAGGGCCCCCAGAGCAGCUGAAGACACACGCCCUGCAGUGUUCUGCUAGGCAGCUCAGUCAGGGUAAAAUUACAGACUGCACCAUGUGGCGUAGUCACUAGGUGUGGGUGUCCUAGGGGUUGGGGCGAGAGGCUGGUGGCAUUUAUGUGACUCACAGAACAAUGAGGCAAUGCUAGGGGUAGGUGGAGAAAAGCAACAGAGGCAAAAACACAGUGACAAUAAACUCUGGAUCCUGCAUGUUACAUGGCUAGCCCAGUGCCUGCAUGAUGCAUGGCUAGCCCAGUGUAGGGGAGGUCAAUUCCUUGGGCUGAAGGGAAAGAGGCAGAGGCUGGAACACGCCUUGAAGGUAAGAAAACUCUUUGAUUGUUAGGACAAGAACAGUGAAAGCAACAGCAUGCACCCCCCCAGAUACUCCAUUCUGGAAAAAAAAAAUAAAGUUGGGCUAUGGAGUUGGCUCAGUCAAUAGGGUGCUUGUCGUGCAAAUGUGGAAAUCAGGGUUCGCAUUCCUAGAACCUAUGCCAAAGCAUAGGCAGACAUGAUGGUAUUCUGCACUCUGAGUAUUCAGGGGAUCUCUGUCUAGCUGUCAGGGAUCCCUGUCAGCGAGCUCCAGGUUCAGUGAGAAACACUGCCUCAAUAAUCAAGGUACAGGCGACCACAGAAGGCCUCCAACAUCAACACUGGCCCUCCAUAUACAUGUGCACAAUGCACACAUGCACCCACACAUAUGUGUGCCCUUAGACAUGUAAACAUGCACGCGCACACACAACACAUGCGUAUACAUGCAAAAUAAUUGAAUUUCAAGUUAACCCAGCCUGGUUUAACAAACUAGCCUUACAAAAGACCCUUAGCCCACAGUUCUCUUUUCAGCUCCCACUGGUAACUGUCUUCUCACUCCAGAGAUCUGUAAGACUCAAAGGCUUGGGCUGGAGAGCUGGCCCAGUGGUUAAGAGCACUGACUGCUCUUCCAGAGGUCCUGAGUUCAAUUCCCAGCACCCACAAGGUGUCUCACCACCAUCUGAUGGUAUCUUCCGGUGUGCAGAUGUACAUGCAGACUAAGGACCCAUAUAUACAAAUAAAUAAGUGUGGAGAGCUUUGGGGGCCGCUUCUAGAAAUUUGUCAAGAACUUGAAAUUGGGCUAGGACAAGGAAGCAGGCUCAAGAUGAAUACAGCCAAGGAAUGUAUUGUAUUCCUUGUAUCUUGGUCAUCCUGAUAAACCCCGAGACACAGUGACCACAGGACUUUCCUUAUUGCCUUGUUUGUUCCUUGACUACUUUGUCUUUGACCUAGAACUGACCCUAUGUUUUUUGCAUGUACCUAGAAUGGUAUAAAAGCAGACCAGAAAAAAAUAAUAAAGCCUCUCUAGCUUCAGCCCCA